UACCUCGCUGACCUGCUUUAAUCUCCUCCAACCUGGCCUUUGACUUCGGGGACUCCUCUUACCUUUCUUUACCUGCCAUGGCCUGCCCCUUCCCGGGGUCUCCUUCACCCCCUCCUCUCUGGUCCCAUCCCUUGUGCGAUCAAAGCCCCCGCCUUCCUCCACCGCUCGGCCUGCUCCGCUGAAGCCUCAUUUUGUGCCCCUGGGCUGGGAGGGAGUGUGUAGUGCAAAGUGGGGCAAGACUCCGGCUGGGCCGGGACCCUUUGUCGCCCCCUCCGCCCGUCGCGAGCCAGCCGGGGUUGCGGCGCUUCCUGGGCGGAGGGCUUGGACUCGCUGCGGCAGCUGCGGUUCUGCUGUGUCAUGCAAGAAGGAGGCGGCGGCGGCCGGAGCUGGAGGGGGAGGAGGGGAGGAACCUGAUCCUCCGGUAGCGAAGGGCUGGAGGCAAACACCGAGCUCCCCCAGAGCCGCCCGGGAGCAGGGAGGGCUCUGCUACCCCGGGGGGCCCUCCCCGCGGGGCAGAGGAGUUCAAGGUGCAGACUCUGAGCCAUGCUUUGGGGUCACUCAUGCACCCCGUCCUGCUGAUUCUACCUAAGCUGUUGGACUCGUAACCCACUCUGCACUUGAGAACAUGGGAAUAAGCUCCUCCUUCCCCAAUUUAAGGCUCUCCUUUUGCUGGUCUUCGCGUAGUACUGAUCAUCUGACAGAGUAUGUGUUCUUGCAUACUGUCGUGAUUGAAGAACUGAAGUUAUCAAGAAAGAAAAUAAUAACACCCAAUGUCAACCUACUGAGCACCAGGUAAACUCUUUGUAUACAUGACUCAUUUAUCCUUAUGAGCCAGAGAAAUCGGUGUUACCCAUUAGGAAGGAUGAGACUGAAGCUUAGAGCGAAAUAACUUGCCCAAGCUCACUUACCGAGAAAGUUACUGAACUACAGUUUAAACUUAUCUUUCUGCCUCAAAUCCCAUGCCUGUAGCUGCUAUACGGAUGCACAUAUGUCAGUUACUAAGAUGGUGAAGUUAAUUUGUUAUAUGGUCAUUGACCAGAUGAUGCAAACUAUUGACUGACUGCUUAAUUCAACACAAAACUUAUAAUCAAUCAAUGGCAAGUGUCUUUGCAUGUGAACAAUUUGACACCUAACUGUCUUGGGUAUCUUCAGUGUCCUAAGUAUUCAGUUAUUAACUAAUAGUAAUUUUAUCUGCUUAGAUUAAUGACCUCCUUUGAAGGACUUGCUUCGGGACAAACAGCAACUUUUUUUGCCAAAGCAAAAUCCUU
This 1268-nucleotide long non-coding RNA is filed under the name Castor canadensis (American beaver). RNAcentral describes it as "lncRNA (ENSCCNG00000019223.1)". The record is from RNAcentral. Lineage: Eukaryota; Metazoa; Chordata; Mammalia; Rodentia; Castoridae.